RNAcentral lists this ribosomal RNA (1261 nucleotides) under Staphylinidae sp. BMNH 1274640. RNAcentral describes it as "16S ribosomal RNA". The stretch from base 1029 to 1187 matches the Rfam family "Archaeal large subunit ribosomal RNA", at positions 2542 to 2701 of the family's 2987-position model. The record is from RNAcentral. Lineage: Eukaryota; Metazoa; Arthropoda; Insecta; Coleoptera; Staphylinidae.
UUUGAGUAGAGUAAAUUAUUUUUAUAAAAUAAAAAAAAUAUUUUUAUGUUAUAGUAAAUUUUAAUGAAAUAAUAGUUAUUAUUAUAGUUAAUUAGUAAAGUGAUUGAAUUUUUUUUUAUUUAUAAAAGAAUAAUUUAUUUUUAGUACCUUUUGUAUCAGGGUUUAUUAAUUAAAAAUUAAUAAUUUAAUUUUCUCGGUUUUAAAAGAGUUAAUUAUUUAUAAAUUUUAUUGUAAAAUAAAUAUUUUAAAUAAAUAAUUAGUAAUGAAACGUUAUUCGUUUUUAAAUAUAUCUAGUUUUCUUAGAAUAAAAUUUAAUUUUAUAUAUAUUAAUAUUUUUAUUAAUAGUAGUAUUUAAUUUAGUAUAUAUUAUAUUAUUAGGGGUUAGCUUAAUAAUAAAAAUUUAUAAAUAGUAUUUUAAAAUAAAUUUGUAGAAUUAUAAAUUUUCAUCAUUUAGUUUGUUAUAAUUAAUUUAUUUUAUAAAAUAAUUUAUAUUAAUUUUAAUUUUUUUAUAAGAAUAUAAAAUUUAAUUUAAUAAUUUUAGGGUUAAUGAUAAAAUUAGUAUAAAUUAAUGUAAGAGUAAUUAAUAUUUUUAUGUUAUAAAAAGGAAUUCGGCAAAUUAUUUUUCGCCUGUUUAUUAAAAACAUGUCUUUUUGAUGAUAAUUUAAAGUCUGACCUGCCCAAUGAUAGAUUAAAUGGCUGCAGUAUUUUGACUGUACAAAGGUAGCAUAAUCAUUAGUUUUUUAAUUAGAAACUGGAAUGAAAGGUUGAACGAGAAAAUGACUGUCUUUUUAUAAAUUUUUUAAAAUUUUAUUUUUAAGUUAAAAAGCUUAAAUAGUUUUAAAAGACGAGAAGACCCUUUAGAGUUUUAUAUUGUAUAAAAUUAAUUAAAAUUAAUAAUUUUUUAUUAUAAAUUUUAUAUAAUAUUUUAUUGGGGUGAUAGAAAAAAUUAAUAAACUUUUUUUUUAUUAAAACAUUGAUUUAUGAUUUUUUGAUCCAUUAUUAUGAUUACAAGAUUAAAUUACCUAAGGGAUAACAGCGUAAUUUUUUUUAAGAGUUCUUAUCGAUAAAAAAGUUUGCGACCUCGAUGUUGGAUUAAAAUUUAUUUUUGGUGUAGAAGCUAAAUAAUUAGGUCUGUUCGACCUUUAAAAUUUUACAUGAUCUGAGUUUAAACCGGUGUGAGCCAGGUUGGUUUCUAUCUUUAAAUUAGUAAUAUAUUUUAGUACGAAAGGACCAUAUAUUUAUAAUAAUUAUGUAUUAAUGA